RNAcentral lists this ribosomal RNA (524 nucleotides) under uncultured bacterium. RNAcentral describes it as "partial 16S ribosomal RNA". It matches the Rfam family "Bacterial small subunit ribosomal RNA", at positions 28 to 523 of the family's 1533-position model. The record is from RNAcentral.
GACGAACGCUGGCGGCGUGCCUAAUACAUGCAAGUCGAACGCUUCUUUCCUCCCGAGUGCUUGCACUCGAUUGGAAAGAGGAGUGGCGGACGGGUGAGUAACACGUGGGUAACCUACCCAUCAGAGGGGGAUAACACUUGGAAACAGGUGCUAAUACCGCAUAACAGUUUAUGCCGCAUGGCAUAAGAGUGAAAGGCGCUUCCGGGUGUCGCUGAUGGAUGGACCCGCGGUGCAUUAGCUAGUUGGUGAGGUAACGGCUCACCAAGGCCACGAUGCAUAGCCGACCUGGGAGGGUGAUCGGCCACACUGGGACUGAGACACGGCCCAGACUCCUACGGGAGGCAGCAGUAGGGAAUCUUCGGCAAUGGACGAAAGUCUGACCGAGCAACGCCGCGUGAGUGAAGAAGGUUUUCGGAUCGUAAAACUCUGUUGUUAGAGAAGAACAAGGACGUUAGUAACUGAACGUCCCCUGACGGUAUCUAACCAGAAAGCCACGGCUAACUACGUGCCAGCCGCCGCAGUAA